Manihot esculenta (cassava) is the source of this 1397-nucleotide long non-coding RNA. RefSeq lists it as uncharacterized. The record is from RefSeq and is a predicted model, not a curated record. The transcript is spliced from 3 exons. NCBI's taxonomy places the organism in Eukaryota, Viridiplantae, Streptophyta, Magnoliopsida, Malpighiales, Euphorbiaceae.
AAUAUUAAUAUCAGUUAUGAGUUAUUAACUUUUUUGAACCGCUAAAAGAAACAGGCGAAGAGAAGCUAAUAAGGUUUGGCUGGCCCCAACUCUUUCAGUUAUAUCCAGAUUUUAUCAGCUCAGCUAUGGCUGUUCUCUGCACGCUCUAUAUCGCUUUCAGUUUCCAUGUAGCCUAAUGUCAUUGUCUCUGCGUCUGUGAGCAACUAACUUAUCUGUGUGCCCAAGAAAGAUGCAGGUCUUCAUCAAGACUCCCACUGGAAUAACCAUCACUCUCGGGGUCGAGAGCAGCGACACCAUCGAUAACGUCAAAGCUAAGAUUCAGGUACUUAUAUUUCCCUUUUCUUGUAUUUAUUAUGGCCUUAUGGGUGUGCUCGUAUUCGAUGAAGAACUGUUGUUUAGAUAUUGUAUCUGGGCAUAACUUAAUAUAAUUUUUGUUGAAAGAAAGGAAUUCUAGCUUUUGGGAUUUCAUCAUUAAUUGUGCAGCUAUUACAAAUUUGCAAUGAUCAUAGUAUAAUUCGGGUGCUGUAGAGAAUUUAUGGUCAGCCUAACAAAAUUGAAGGCAUUAAACAGGCAAAUCGCAGUUCAUUGAUAGUUUCUUAUGAGAUGUUAUGGGCUUUGAGAAUUGAUUUAUCUUUGGGAAAGGAUGGGACUGUGUCUUGCUCUUUUUGUUUUUUGUUGCUUGACUAUGGUCUAAAAGAGAUACAAGGAAGGGAUCUCUCCUGAGCAGCAGAGAUUAAUUUUGGUCGUAAGCAAUGGAUACUCUUGCUGAUUAUAACAUCCACAAGGAGUUAACACUUCACCUGGUUUUGAGGCUUAGAGGAGGAACUAUGAUCACGGUGAAGACUCUCGCUGGAAAAGAGAUUGAGCUUGACAUUGAACUACUGAUACCAUCAAUUGGAUAAAGGAAAAAGUUGUGGAGAAAGAAGGUAUUCCUCCAGUGCAGCAAAGGAAACAAUUUUGAUUCUUAUGCUGUGCUGAGGCUUAUUUUUGCUGGGAAGCAGCUUGGAGAUGACAGACGGCUUAUGACUACAACAACGAGAGGCGCGCACGGUUCCGGUUCUGCGCUUCAUCUUGUAGUUGCCCUGAUGGGGCGGUAGUUUUUAGAUGGUGCUUGUAACUUUCAGAAAAUCUAGCAACCGGCUAGGUUCAUUUUCAGUAAACGUUGAGGACAUCGGACAGAAUAGGUUAGAUUCAUUUUCUGGACACAAGAUUGUUAGUUUACCAUUAAGUUACCUUGUCUCUGUUUUUCUGUGUUUAUGCUGGGCUCUGUAAACACUCUGUAAUCAGCUUCCCGCAUUUUUACCCCUCUGCUAUCUUUCAUUCUUUAAGUUAGAAUGGUGAAUGCUAUUGACAGAUAGAUGAUUCACAGUCAUUGCUGAAGUUCGUGUUCUUAUGGA